RNAcentral lists this long non-coding RNA (1227 nucleotides) under Salmo salar (Atlantic salmon). RNAcentral's name for it is "lncRNA (ENSSSAG00000085925.1)". The record is from RNAcentral. Lineage: Eukaryota; Metazoa; Chordata; Actinopteri; Salmoniformes; Salmonidae.
GGCCUACAGUACUGGAGACAUGAAAACAUAGUGGAGGCCUACAGACUGGAGUCAUGACAACAUAGGGGGGGCCUACAGACUGGAGACAUGACAACAUAGUGGAGGCCUACCGACUGGAGACAUGACAACAUAGUGGAGGACUACGGACUGGGGACAUGACAACAUAGUGGAAGACUACAGACUGGAGACAUUACACCAUAGUCAAGGCCUAGAGACUGGAGACAUGACAUCACGGUAGAGGGCUACGAACUGGAGACAUUACAACAUAGUGGAGAGCUACAGACUGGAGACAUGACAACAUAGUGGAGGCCUACAGACUGGAGACAUGACAUCAUAGCGGAGGCCUACAGACUGGAGACAUGACAUCAUAGUGGAGGACUACAGACUGGAGACAUGACAAGAUAGUGGAGGCCUACCGACUGGAGACAUGACAACAUAGUGGAGGACUACGGACUGGGGACAUGACAACAUAGUGGAAGACUACAGACAUGGCAACAUAGUGGAGGCCUACAGACUGGACACAUUACAAAAUAGUGAAGACUAACAGACUGGAGACAGGACAACAUAGUGGAGGCCUACAGACUGGAGACAUUACAUCAUAGUGGAGGCCUACAGACUGGAGACAUUACAUCAUAGUGGAGGCCUACAGACUGGAGACAUUACAUCAUAGUGGAGGACUACGGACUGGGGACAUGACAUUAUAGUGGAAGACUACAGACAUGGCAACAUAGUGGAGGCCUACAGACUGGACACAUUACAAAAUAGUGAAGACUAACAGACUGGAGACAGGACAACAUAGUGGAUGCCUACAGACUGGAGACAAGACAACAAAGUGGAUGCCUACAGACUGGAGACAUGACAUCAUAGCGGAGGCCUACAGACUGGAGACAUGACAUCAUAGCGGAGGCCUACAGACUGGAGACAUGACAUCAUAGUGGAGGCCUACAGACUGGAGACAUUACAAAAUAGUGGAGGACUACAGAUUGGAGACAUUACAAAAUAGUAGAGGGCUACAAACUCGAGACAUUACAACAUAGUGGAGAACUACAGACUGGAGUCAUGACAACAUAGUGGAGGCCUGCAGAUUGGGGAUAUGACAACAUAGUGGAGGCCUACAGACUGGAGACAUUACAAAAUAGUAGAGGGCUACAAACUCGAGACAUUACAACAUAGUGGAGAACUACAGACUGGAGUCAUGACAACAUAGUGGAGGCCUGCAGACUGGGG